RNAcentral lists this ribosomal RNA (403 nucleotides) under uncultured bacterium. RNAcentral's name for it is "partial 16S ribosomal RNA". It matches the Rfam family "Bacterial small subunit ribosomal RNA", at positions 30 to 526 of the family's 1533-position model. The record is from RNAcentral.
AUUGAACGCUGGCGGCAGGCCUAACACAUGCAAGUCGAGCGAGCGGCGGACGGGUGAGUAAUGUAUGGGGACUGCCCGAUAGAGGGGGAUAACUACUGGAAACGGUAGCUAAUACCGCAUACUAUCGGAUAACCCAUAUGGGAUUAGCUAGUAGGUGAGGUAAUGUCUCACCUAGGCGACGAUCCCUAGCUGGUCUGAGAGGAUGAUCAUCCACACUGGGACUGAGACACGGCCCAGAGUCCUACCAUGUCACUAGGUUAAGAUUUUGGACAAUGGGGGAAAACCUGAUCCAGCCAUCCCGCGUGUAUGAUGAAGGCCUUCGGGUUGUAAAGUACUUUUGGCAGAGAAGCGGUAGCUGCAGAAUAAGCACCGGCUAACUACGUGCCAGCAGCCGCGGUAAUUC